RNAcentral lists this ribosomal RNA (467 nucleotides) under uncultured bacterium. RNAcentral's name for it is "partial 16S ribosomal RNA". It matches the Rfam family "Bacterial small subunit ribosomal RNA", at positions 28 to 506 of the family's 1533-position model. The record is from RNAcentral.
GACGAACGCUGGCGGCGUGCUUAACACAUGCAAGUCGAACGGAAAGGCCCUGCUUUUGUGGGGUGCUCGAGUGGCGAACGGGUGAGUAACACGUGAGUAACCUGCCCUUGACUUUGGGAUAACUUCAGGAAACUGGGGCUAAUACCGGAUAGGAGCUCCUGCUGCAUGGUGGGGGUUGGAAAGUUUCGGCGGUUGGGGAUGGACUCGCGGCUUAUCAGCUUGUUGGUGGGGUAGUGGCUUACCAAGGCUUUGACGGGUAGCCGGCCUGAGAGGGUGACCGGCCACAUUGGGACUGAGAUACGGCCCAGGCUCCUACGGGAGGCAGCAGUGGGGAAUAUUGCACAAUGGGCGGAAGCCGGAUGCAGCAACGCCGCGUGCGGGAUGACGGCCUUCGGGUUGGAAACCGCUUUCGCCUGUGACGAAGCGUGAGUGACGGUAAUGGGUAAAGAAGCACCGGCUAACUACGU